RNAcentral lists this ribosomal RNA (128 nucleotides) under uncultured eukaryote. RNAcentral describes it as "partial small subunit ribosomal RNA". It matches the Rfam family "Eukaryotic small subunit ribosomal RNA", at positions 1651 to 1783 of the family's 1831-position model. The record is from RNAcentral.
CCCUGCCCUUUGUACACACCGCCCGUCGCACCUACCGAUUGAAUGGUCCGGUGAAGCCUCGGGAUUGUGAUCUGUUUCCUUCAUUGGAGAUGGGAUAACUUGUCUAAACCUUAUCAUUUAGAGGAAGG